ACUCCUACGGGAGGCAGCAGUGGGGAAUAUUGCACAAUGGGGAAACCCUGAUGCAGCCAUGCCGCGUGUGUGAAGAAGGCCUUCGGUUGUAAAGCACUUCAGUAGGGAGGAAGGUAGUGUAGUUAACACCUGCAUUAUUUGACGUUACCUACAGAAGAAGCACCGGCUAACUCCGUGCCAGCAGCCGCGGUAAUACGGAGGGGUGCGAGCGUUAAUCGGAAUUACUGGGCGUAAAGCGCAUGCAGGCGGCCUGUUAAGUCAGAUGUGAAAGCCCGGGGGCUUAACCUCGGAAUUGCAUUUGAAACUGGCAGGCUAGAGUCUGUAGAGGGGGUAGAAUUUCAGGUGUAGCGGUGAAAUGCGUAGAGAUCUGAAGGAAUACCAGUGGCGAAGGCGGCCCCCUGGACAAAGACUGACGCUCAGAUGCGAAAGCGUGGGGAGCAAACAGGAUUAGAUACCCUGGUAGACUGUCA
RNAcentral lists this ribosomal RNA (470 nucleotides) under uncultured bacterium. Its description in RNAcentral is "bacterial SSU rRNA". It matches the Rfam family "Bacterial small subunit ribosomal RNA", at positions 335 to 802 of the family's 1533-position model. The record is from RNAcentral.